AAGAUGAUCACGUGUAAAUGUAGAAAAUGUAAAUAAACAAUUGCGACGUGCUGAUUGUGCAACAAGUCUUUACCCAAAAACAUAGGACGACAUUUAGUAACAAUUCUAAAGUGAUCAAUCCAAUGUUACUCAAGGCUCUAACUUGAAACUGACUAUAUAUUUGCAGGACCAAGUCAAUCAAUACACUCUAAAAAUAGUAAGUGUGUACACAAAUUUGAAAGUAAACCAAAAUGACCUUCUAGUUGACAAGUAGGAUUUUGGAUAAUUCUAACAUUAGAAAAGGAUUAAUAUGGAUUAAAUAAGAUGCAUUAAUAACAUUUGAAUAAGUACCAAUGGACCAACUGAAAGCAAUUUUUUUAGCUGUCAUGUUCUGCAUGUGCUGUUUAAGUUUUGCUGAUGAUAUCGACAAAUGCCAUCCAAAUCCAUGUUUGCACGGUGCUGAAUGCAAGGAUGCUAUUGACGAUUACAAGUGUAUCUGUAAAUCAGGUUACAAAGGACAGAACUGUGAAAUAGAAACUAUGGAACAGCGUAAACGCUUAAUUAGGAAAGCGGUCGAAGAAAAAGUGUAUGGCAUAACUGCAAUAAUAGUAGGCACCAUCGAGUGUGGAGUUAUUACUAUAUAUUGUUUUUGGAAUAAUAGACGAUAAAAACUAAACUCAAAAAAAGUUGUGAUAAUGGAAGUUUAUGUGCAUAACCGUUUCAUAUGUUUUUUUUUAUUAUCCUAUUUCUUAACAGCACAACGUUGUUAUGACAUAAAUGUUAUGAUAAUAAUUUAUAAUGGAUUGUGAUAUAUAUAUUUGCUGAACUAUGAAGUAAUUGUAUGUUAAGGCUUUCUAAACUGUUGCGCUUGAUCUUGCUGUUGAUGACGAUCACAUAAGGAAUUUCGCCUACUAACAAUGACCACGUAUCUCUAUAACACAAAGCUUUCGCAGAGAUGAUGUUGUUUUGUCGACGAUACUUGAAAUUCAAAGAGACUAAAAUGAAAAAUAAUUCUAUGCAUUUCAAAAAAGUUUUGGUAACCAUGAUGGUCAGCACAAAAACGCUCAACACAUGUAUAUCAGGAUGAAUCAAGACGAACUAACAACAUGAUCAAAGAUUCAAAACGACGAUCGAAAUGGUUCGAUGAAUUAAAAAUAUGUGGAACGGUUUUGAAGUCAGAAUGUUUGUUAAUAGCGAUCUAUUCGCACUUAACCAUGACGUUUAAACUGGACGGACAUUGCUUGAAACAUUUUAUUUGACUAACUCCUUUCGAAAUGUCAAUAUUCUUUUUCUCAUUUUCUCAUUUACGUAACGUUUAAUUCCACAUCAAGGUUUAAUCACUGUUGCAUUUCUGUACAUAACAACAAAAUUAUUUUCAUUUAUCUGUGUAUAAUAUGACGCAGGUUUCUUCAAAAGUGAUGAUUUUCUAUAAAUUGUUUGAAAUUUCACAGUGAUAUCAUACUUUAACUUUGUUUAAACCGGUUUAUUUACUUUUGACUUUAAUUAUUUAUCCCUUGUAAUUUUUUUUUAACUGUGUAUUUGCAUUCAGGUGUCACAGGUCAAAUUUAUUCGUUCAUUGUGUGUUAAUUUACGUUUUUUGAUUGAGUUAAGCCUUCCAAUUGAUAUUUAAUAGUGUGUUUUUCUUUGUUGUGAUGUUAUACUAUUGUUUCAGAAAAGGGAGAAGGUUUGGUACCAUUAAAACGUUUAAUCCCGCUGCAAAUGUUUGCACCUGUCCUAAGUCAGGAAUCUGAUUACAGUAGUUGUCGUCUGUUUAUGUAGUUUAUAUGUGUUUCUUGUUUCUCGUUUUUAUAUAGAUUAGAACGUCGGUUUUUCCGUUUGAAUGGUUUUGCAUUAGUAAUUGUUUUGGGGCCCUUUAUAGCUUGCUGUUCGGUGUGAACCAAUGCUCCGUGUUGAAGGCCGUACCUUGACCUAUAAUGGUUUACUUUUAUAAAUUGUAACUUGGAUGGAGAGUUGUCUCAUUGGCACUCAUACCACAUCUUCCUAUAUCUAUAUCACCACAUUCAUUCGUUGCUUAAGCAUAUUAUAUUUUGAUAAAACAUUGUCAUGUUCUUCAAAACAAUAAUUGUAAAUGUCACAAGGCAUAUUCGUAUUUCCAAGUAUAUAAAGGGCAUAUCAUCAAUAGAGUAAACAUUUGUCAAAAUAAUUCUUUCGAAUUAAUUAAGUGUCUAUCAUUUACCUGGCGACAGUUUAAACGGUUUUAUUGUAUGCAGUUACUUAAAUUUUAAUCGUAAAGUAAGUUGUUUUCAUAUUUCCUUAACAGGGUUGGCCUUUCUGAGAAAUCGAACAAGAAGAACUGCAGGAAUUCAAUAAUGUGUCCAACAAAUACGAAGAGUUCCGUAAAUAAUAUGUUAACAGAAUAUUUAUAAUUAAUUCGUGUUUCGUGUCAUUUCAGAUAUUUACAAAUAAUUCAAAUGUUGUAUGAAUAUUGUCCAUCCAAAUUGUUUAAAAGACCAGAUUUCGUUCAAUUCAUUAAAUGAACCUUUUGGGAGUUUUA
Molecule: long non-coding RNA, 2494 nt
Organism: Mytilus californianus (California mussel)
Lineage: Eukaryota; Metazoa; Mollusca; Bivalvia; Mytilida; Mytilidae
Exons: 5
Source: RefSeq, a predicted model, not a curated record